GGCCUCGUGGCCCAAUGGCAAGGCGUCUGACUACGAGAUAUAUCAAACUGUACUACAAUUUGAUAUUCUGACGAUAAUCAGGAGAUUCUGGGUUCGACCCCCAGCGAGGUCA
This is a non-coding RNA of Xylaria scruposa, 112 nucleotides long. Lineage: Eukaryota; Fungi; Ascomycota; Sordariomycetes; Xylariales; Xylariaceae. The record is from the annotation of a GenBank genome assembly.